UACAGAGGUGGCAAGCGUUGUUCGGAAUUACUGGGCGUAAAGGGCGCGUAGGCGGCCCGUCAAGUCCCGUGUGAAAUCCCACGGCUCAACCGUGGAAGUGCAUUCGAAACUGCAGGGCUAGAGUCCUGGAGAGGAAGGUGGAAUGCUUGGUGUAGAGGUGAAAUUCGUAGAUAUCAAGCGGAACACCGGUGGCGAAGGCGGCCUUCUGGACAGUGACUGACGCUGAGACGCGAAAGCGUGGGGAGCAAACAGG
RNAcentral lists this ribosomal RNA (253 nucleotides) under uncultured bacterium. RNAcentral's name for it is "partial 16S ribosomal RNA". It matches the Rfam family "Bacterial small subunit ribosomal RNA", at positions 524 to 776 of the family's 1533-position model. The record is from RNAcentral.